UUUCCAUAGGUGAACCUGCGGAAGGAUCAUUAAUGAGUUGUCAUGGGGUUCGAUGCUGGCAGCCAAUUUUUGGAUGCAUGUGCUUGCCCUAAUAAUCAUCUUCCAAACACCUGUGCACAUUUUUGAGGGAGUCUUGAGUUGGUUGCCGCUCUUGGGUGAUUUUCUCACAUUCCCUUAAAUCAUUAUACGCUAUUAACAAUGUUGAACGUGCUCUGUGCCGCAAGGCUAUUAAUAUAAUACAACUUUUAACAACGGAUCUCUUGGCUCUC
RNAcentral lists this unclassified non-coding RNA (269 nucleotides) under plant metagenome. RNAcentral describes it as "partial contains small subunit ribosomal RNA, internal transcribed spacer 1, and 5.8S ribosomal RNA". The record is from RNAcentral.